This 253-nucleotide ribosomal RNA is filed under the name uncultured bacterium. RNAcentral describes it as "partial 16S ribosomal RNA". It matches the Rfam family "Bacterial small subunit ribosomal RNA", at positions 524 to 776 of the family's 1533-position model. The record is from RNAcentral.
UACGGAGGGUGCGAGCGUUAAUCGGAAUUACUGGGCGUAAAGCGUGCGUAGGCGGUUUGAUAAGUCGGGUGUGAAAGCCCCGGGCUUAACCUGGGAAUUGCAUUCGAUACUGUCUGACUCGAGUCUGGGAGAGGGAAGCGGAAUUCCGGGUGUAGCGGUGAAAUGCGUAGAUAUCGGGAGGAACACCAGUGGCGAAGGCGACUACCUGGCCUGUUCUUGACGCUGAGGCGCGAAAGCUAGGGGAGCAAACGGG